RNAcentral lists this ribosomal RNA (497 nucleotides) under uncultured bacterium. RNAcentral's name for it is "partial 16S ribosomal RNA". It matches the Rfam family "Bacterial small subunit ribosomal RNA", at positions 28 to 507 of the family's 1533-position model. The record is from RNAcentral.
GACGAACGCUGGCGGCGUGCCUAAUACAUGCAAGUUGAGCGCUGAAGGUUGGUACUUGUACCAACUGGAUGAGCAGCGAACGGGUGAGUAACGCGUGGGGAAUCUGCCUUUGAGCGGGGGACAACAUUUGGAAACGAAUGCUAAUACCGCAUAAAAACUUUAAACACAAGUUUUAAGUUUGAAAGAUGCAAUUGCAUCACUCAAAGAUGAUCCCGCGUUGUAUUAGCUAGUUGGUGAGGUAAAGGCUCACCAAGGCGAUGAUACAUAGCCGACCUGAGAGGGUGAUCGGCCACAUUGGGACUGAGACACGGCCCAAACUCCUACGGGAGGCAGCAGGAGGGAAUCUUCGGCAAUGGACGAAAGUCUGACCGAGCAACGCCGCGUGAGGGAAGAAGGGUGUCGGAUCGGAAAACUCUGUUGGUAGAGAAGAACGUUGGUGAGAGUGGAAAGCUCAUCAAGUGACGGUAACUACCCAGAAAGGGACGGCUAACUACGUG